RNAcentral lists this ribosomal RNA (479 nucleotides) under uncultured bacterium. RNAcentral's name for it is "partial 16S ribosomal RNA". It matches the Rfam family "Bacterial small subunit ribosomal RNA", at positions 28 to 507 of the family's 1533-position model. The record is from RNAcentral.
GAUGAACGCUGGCGGCGUGCUUAACACAUGCAAGUCGAGCGAGAAGUUUUGAAAAGAUUCUUCGGAUGAAAUUUAAAAUGGAAAGCGGCGGACGGGUGAGUAACGCGUAGGCAACCUGCCCCAUACAAAGGGAUAGCAUUUGGAAACGAAUAUUAAUACCUUAUGAAACUUAACUAGUGCAUGCUAGGUAGGUCAAAGAUUUAUCGGUAUGGGAUGGGCCUGCGUCUGAUUAGCUAGUUGGUGAGGUAACGGCUCACCAAGGCGACGAUCAGUAGCCGACCUGAGAGGGUGAACGGCCACAUUGGAACUGAGACACGGUCCAAACUCCUACGGGAGGCAGCAGUUGGGAAUAUUGCACAAUGGGGGAAACCCUGAUGCAGCAACGCCGCGUGAACGAUGAAGGCCUUUGGGUCGUAAAGUUCUGUUCUAGGUGAUGAAAACUGACAGUAACCUAGGAGAAAGCCCCGGCUAACUCCGUG